This 468-nucleotide ribosomal RNA is filed under the name uncultured bacterium. RNAcentral describes it as "partial 16S ribosomal RNA". It matches the Rfam family "Bacterial small subunit ribosomal RNA", at positions 28 to 507 of the family's 1533-position model. The record is from RNAcentral.
GAUGAACGCUGGCGGCGUGCUUAAUACAUGCAAGUCGAACGGACAGGCGCUGCUCUUGCGGGGCUCUCGUUUGGCGAACGGGUGAGUGACACGCGAGUAUCCCCCACUUGUCUUUGGGAUAUCUCUUCGAAACUGGGGCUAUUAUCCGAGAGAAGCUCUUGCUGCGCGGGGGGGGUUGGUAAGAUUCGGCGGUUGGGGAUCGUCUCGAUGCUUAUCAGCUUCUUUGUGAGGUAGUGGAGUUCCAAGGUUAUGACGGCUAGCCGGCCUGAGAGGGGGAACGGCCACAUUGGGACUAAGAGACGGACCAGACUGCUACGGGAGGCAGAAGUGGGGAAUAUUACGCAGUGAGCGGAAGCGUGAUGCAGCGGCGCCGCGUGCGGGAAAACGGCCUUCGAGUUGUAAACCGCUUUCGCAUGAGACGAGGCGUGCGUGACGGUAAUGGGUAAAGAAGCACCGGCUAACUACGUG